Molecule: ribosomal RNA, 432 nt
Filed under: uncultured bacterium
Lineage: Bacteria
Description: partial 16S ribosomal RNA
Rfam family: Bacterial small subunit ribosomal RNA
Source: RNAcentral
AACGAACGCUGGCGGCAUGCCUAACACAUGCAAGUCGAACGAGACCUUCGGGUCUAGUGCGCACGGGUGCGUAACGCGUGGGAACCUGCCCUUAGGUUCGGAAUAACUCCCCGAAAGGGGUGCUAAUACCGGAUAAUGUCUUCGGACCAAAGAUUUAUCGCCUUUGGAUGGGCCCGCGUUGGAUUAGCUAGUUGGUAGGGUAAAAGCCUACCAAGGCGACGAUCCAUAGCUGGUCUGAGAGGAUGAUCAGCCACACUGGGACUGAGACACGGCCCAGACUCCUACGGGAGGCAGCAGUGGGGAAUAUUGGACAAUGGGCGAAAGCCUGAUCCAGCAAUGCCGCGUGAGUGAUGAAGGCCUUAGGGUUGUAAAGCUCUUUUACCCGGGAUGAUAAUGACAGUACCGGGAGAAUAAGCUCCGGCUAACUCCGUG